UGCGUAGGCGGCCCGGGAAGUUGGGUGUGAAAGCCCUCGGCUCAACCGAGGAAUUGCGCCCAAAACUGCCGGGCUUGAGGAAGAUAGAGGUGCGCGGAACUUAGGGUGGAGCGGUGAAAUGCGUUGAUAUCCUAAGGAACACCAGUAGCGAAAGCGGCGCACUGGGUCUUUUCUGACGCUGAUGCACGAAAGCUAGGGGAGCGAAGAGGAUUAGAUACCCUCGUAGUCCUAGCCGUAAACAAUGAGCACUGGUUUGGAGGGUCCUCCAUAGCCCUCCAGACGUAGCGAAAGUGUUAAGUGCUCCGCCUGGGGAGUAUGGUCGCAAGGCUGAA
RNAcentral lists this ribosomal RNA (332 nucleotides) under uncultured bacterium. Its description in RNAcentral is "bacterial SSU rRNA". It matches the Rfam family "Bacterial small subunit ribosomal RNA", at positions 568 to 898 of the family's 1533-position model. The record is from RNAcentral.